This 548-nucleotide long non-coding RNA is filed under the name Androctonus crassicauda. Lineage: Eukaryota; Metazoa; Arthropoda; Arachnida; Scorpiones; Buthidae. The record is from RNAcentral.
GAUCGGCAAGAGCAGUGUGAAGGAGCAGGAGUGUGUAAUGUGCCGGUGAAUUGCCUCAAUGAGGAUGGGGAGGCCAAUUAUAUUGGAGUCACGACAAGAACACUUGUGACGGUUGGCCAUACCUCCCACCCGCUGCUCUUGGUUUGGCUUUGAGAUUCACUAUACGACGACUUUUGAUUGUUACGAAUCUUAAUUUCAAUCGUAAUUUCAUGGGACUCCAUCCACUGCAUAAAGGAUUCAAAUACGUGCUCCAUGUUGAAAAUACUUUUAAACUUUUAUUAAUCAAAUAUAAAUUAUUUUCAGAAAUUCUACAAAUUAACUCUUGCCUGUAUAAAAACACUACAACUGCAAUAACGAAGACCACCACAUCACAAAUUGCCAACAUUCAAACUCUUGCUGCCACUUGCAGUCCAAUAAUGAAAAUACAGUCCCAAUACUGAACAUAACAAUCUCAAUACCAUUAAUUUGACAAUGUUGAUGACGACGACAACAGCCAGUCAGCACUCCAAACACAACGAACCGGGCAAGACAAAACUGCUCCUGUCGAU